GUCAGAGGUGAAAUUCUUGGAUUUAUGAAAGAUUAACUUCUGCGAAAGCAUCUGCCAAGGAUGUUUUCAUUAAUCAAGAACGAAAGUUAGGGGAUCGAAGACGAUCAGAUACCGUCGUAGUCUUAACCAUAAACGAUGCCGACCAGCGAUUAGGAGACGUUGAAUACAAAACACCACCAUCGGUUGCGGUCGUCCUUGGCGUCUCGGUUUCGGCCGGGCCGCGGGGACGCUUUAGCCCGGUGGGACCGGUGAAUGACUCCCCUAGCAGCUUGUGAGA
RNAcentral lists this ribosomal RNA (277 nucleotides) under Acanthamoeba sp. TN_2. Its description in RNAcentral is "partial 18S ribosomal RNA". It matches the Rfam family "Eukaryotic small subunit ribosomal RNA", at positions 904 to 1095 of the family's 1831-position model. The record is from RNAcentral. RNAcentral also lists the same sequence under 2 other names. Lineage: Eukaryota; Discosea; Longamoebia; Acanthamoebidae.